UGGGGAAUGACCUGGCUGGUAGCCAUGUGUGGGCUGAUGGUCCACCUCAACCUGUAGUAACUUUUUCUCCUUCUGUUGCAGAGAGGUUUCCUGUUUGCACAGCUACCCAGUCAGUGUUUGGUGGAGAGGCAGAAUCAGGCUUCAAGCCGAGUGGUCCAGAGAGUAUCCUUCACUGUGGUGAUACCUGAUUCUUUCCCUUCAGUUUCUCACAGUGACCUGGCAGCAGAACAACAAGCUGAUCCUUCCCUCAGUGCAAUGUUUGAUUCUUCGCUUUUGGAUGGGGAGAGUUCUGCACAGGGUUAUCUGGCGAAAAACAAUCUGUUGUCUGCUAUCCUGUUGUCUUUACCUUCAUCCUAACUGGUUGAGGCAGAUGACUGCCCUGACUGACCCUGGUUCUGCCUGAGGCUUCAUCCUGGUAAGUAGGAG
Molecule: long non-coding RNA, 426 nt
Organism: Amphiprion ocellaris (clown anemonefish)
Lineage: Eukaryota; Metazoa; Chordata; Actinopteri; Pomacentridae
Source: Ensembl